CUGAAAAACGUGAGAGGAAGAAGAAGGAGGAGAACCAGCAGCUGAAUAGUGUCAAACCUUCCUCAAACUUAGUUAAAUUCAGAAGGUGGUGCGGUCGGGAUUGGACCAUCAUCAAGACAGGAACGACCCACAGGUGGAGCAGGGACGUCACACCAACGAGAUGUCUAGGAUACCCGAUACACGGGAACCUACUUUUGCAAGGAAUUAAGUAGAUGCAUUCUAAAUCACAAUGUAUUUUGUAGGGAUCAAUGUACUGAAUGUAUAACUUUUAUUAGAUCCUUUUUGUUUAAAAAUUGUGAUGGCUAUUAGAAGUAUAAGAGUGCAAACUCAUGUCCAUGUAUAUAUAUUUUUAAUAUGAACUUCAAAUCAUGCAACCUUAAUAUUAUGUGUUUGUGUAAGAUUCGCU
Molecule: long non-coding RNA, 406 nt
Organism: Populus trichocarpa (black cottonwood)
Lineage: Eukaryota; Viridiplantae; Streptophyta; Magnoliopsida; Malpighiales; Salicaceae
Exons: 3
Source: RefSeq, a predicted model, not a curated record